UGGGGAAUAUUGCACAAUGGGCGCAAGCCUGAUGCAGCCAUGCCGCGUGUGUGAAGAAGGCCUUCGGGUUGUAAAGCACUUUCAGCGGGGAGGAAGGCGUUAAGGUUAAUAACCUUGGCGAUUGACGUUACCGACAGAAGAAGCACCGGCUAACUCCGUGCCAGCAGCCGCGGUAAUACGGAGGGUGCAAGCGUUAAUCGGAAUUACUGGGCGUAAAGCGCACGCAGGCGGUUGAUUGAGUCAGAUGUGAAAUCCCCGGGCUUAACCCGGGAAUUGCAUCUGAUACUGGUCAGCUAGAGUCUUGUAGAGGGGGGUAGAAUUCAAUGUGUGGCGGUGAGAUGCGUAGAGAUGUGGAGGAAUACCGGUGGCGAAGGCGGCCCCCUGGACAAAGACUGACGCUCAGGUGCGAAAGCGUGGGGAGCAAACAGG
Molecule: ribosomal RNA, 429 nt
Filed under: Chloroflexota bacterium
Lineage: Bacteria; Bacillati; Chloroflexota
Description: Chloroflexi bacterium partial 16S ribosomal RNA
Rfam family: Bacterial small subunit ribosomal RNA
Source: RNAcentral